Molecule: long non-coding RNA, 2367 nt
Organism: Anguilla rostrata (American eel)
Lineage: Eukaryota; Metazoa; Chordata; Actinopteri; Anguilliformes; Anguillidae
Exons: 4
Source: RefSeq, a predicted model, not a curated record
CAAAAAAUUGCAAAGAAGACGAAGUAGCUCCAGGGCGGCAACAGUCCGAAUUUGAAAGCAAUGGCGCGGAUUUGCACUUCAUGUUUGCAGAGCCUUCCAAAGAGCAAUAUUGACGAUAUUAACCGAAUUUGCAAAUAGACGUGCACGGCACCAACCAGCUGGGAGAAAGGAUUCAAAAAUAUGCAGCGUGGUGCAUAAAUAACUACGAAGUGUGUUGCAGUGGUUGGGAAACCAGACGGGGACCCGAGAGACUUCAGACUGGAAUCCUGGCUGCAUCACUUCUGAACCAAGGAGAGGAGAAAGCCUGUAAUCAACCAGGAGAGCGUGAAGAGAGGAAGCACGUGACCGCGCGUUCGGUGGAGAACGGAGGCCCGGACCCGCCGACGAUCCCGUCGCCUGGGGAGACGGAACUUGGACAGCCGCCAGGUGGUGCAUGAACACGGCUGGUGCAUUAACGCGUGUGGCGCGUGCCCAGAGCCAGUAAAGCAGCCCUAAACGGCCACUGAAUGGCAGGAGAACCAGAGCUCACGCCGCGGAUGGUGGGGAGGAUCCGCUGGCUCACGGCCCAGAGCCUGCAGCCGAUCCCACAAGGAGGCAGGAGCCUGUUAACCCCCGUUGCUUUACCCCCUGUGGCCGCCGCCUUACCAUUAACCGCUGGCUUCCGCACCCCGCUGGACAACGGGUGGCUAACGCACGCGAGGGCCAGAUCUUCAGUGCUGCCACGAACCUUCAUGCUGUCACGCUGCAUGGCAGAGUUUACACAUUCCGGGGAAUGGGCACAUCAGACAGGGGCACCGGCCACAUUAACCCCUGGAACCGGCGGUCAGCUGCAGCAGGCCCGGGAGCCUCGUGGGUAAUGAGCGUAGACGCCGCGCCGACGUGCCGAGCCAGGAAAACGGCUGCCCCUGGCACGCAUACGCUAUGAUCAAUCUGCCUUACAUUAGCCGAGCCGGGCCCGGCCGGAGCGGAUAAGUGCUCAGUGUCAAACGGGAUGCUGACCUCCAAUCGAUCAGUGUUUUUCUUUAACCUUUUAUCUCUCAAAUUAAGUGUUAUUUCUUCCUCGGCGGAAGAAACGCUUCAAGUUGAGCAUCGGUGAAAUCAAAAACGUAUUGCUUUGAAUUGUGAGUCAAAGAAAAGGUCAUGUUAAUCUAUUCCAGUUCCUGGAACUCUUAAUUAUAACUGCUAAUUAUGACAAAUUUUUCUAUGUGAUAUUGAGUUCUUUUGUUCUUAAAUUUAGUGUGGGGGGGGGGGGGGUUGUCUAAUUAUCGGAUUGUGUGGAUUCAAAAUCUGUUCGAAUGUUAUGUUAAAUGGAUUACCGCUACUUUGGUGCCAUCUCUAGAAGGCUUUUGAGAAUCUAAAUAACACUGACCAUUAAAAACAAUAAUUCAAAUAAGAUUUCCUGUAUGGUAAUGACCGCCAUUAUGUACAAUCUCCUGAAGUGGCGGCUGCGAUAUCUAUUUGCAAUAUCGCGGGGCCGCGGUUGUCUGAAGCUGGAAGGAAUAAUUGUGUCUCGGAGUCCUCCCACACUCGGGCAUGCGUAAUUCUGCCGUGGGUGUAGAUCUUUAUGGUGGAGAUAUGAGUGAAUGGGGCCAGAGAUACGGGUGAAUUGCUCGUGUUCCUCUCCCCUCCCCUCCUCCAAGGGCUCCUGUUCAAGGUCGGGCGCUCUAUUAGAGAAUAACGGCAGGAAUGCGCAGAAGAAGGGAAAGAAAGUAGCCCUUCAAACUCCGCACUUAAUUUCAAAACCGGUCCCUUCGGAGUCUGAUGAAAUUCUGUAUAUUUCGGCUGCAAAGUUAUGAGGAGACCGGAGGAUUCGCGCGCACAUGUCCAUGUCCACACACGCACAUCCCUCUCCUCGUGCCUCAGUAAACAGCCAGCCAGUGUGAGAUUAAACAUUCCUUUUCUCCCUCUUUUGUUUCUUUGAUGGGUUUGAUUAGGUGGUGAUGAAGGACCCAUUGUGAAUGCUGAAUAUGGCGUAUGAAUAUUGCAUUGAAACAUCACAGGGCCCCGUGUCCUCUGAGUAGAGCAGCGGUCGGGGAGACGGAACGAAGGAGGCGCUUAGCGCAACCAAACGCCGCUAACGCUGAGCCCUCUCUUCUCGCUCGUGCCCAUUGGCUCCGAACACGCCGCUGUGACUGCGCUGACAGAGCCUUCACGGGGGGCUCACCUGCUGGAUCCCAAAUCCCAUACUUCUACUCCUGGGGAGAGGGGGGUCAUGCCCCACCCCCCCUCCCCUCCUCGACAGCUCAUGCUGCCUUCCUCUGGCCUCCACCCCGAGCCUCCACCCAUCCGUCCUGCUUUGACUGACAGCUUCGGCCGAUCCCUUAACCUACUUUAAUCAAGCUGUCGCUUCGCAUCACCCCUAAAAAU